AUUGAACGCUGGCGGCAGGCCUAACACAUGCAAGUCGAGCGGAUGAAGGGAGCUUGCUCCUGGAUUCAGCGGCGGACGGGUGAGUAAUGCCUAGGAAUCUGCCUGGUAGUGGGGGAUAACGUCCGGAAACGGGCGCUAAUACCGCAUACGUCCUGAGGGAGAAAGUGGGGGAUCUUCGGACCUCACGCUAUCAGAUGAGCCUAGGUCGGAUUAGCUAGUUGGUGGGGUAAAGGCCUACCAAGGCGACGAUCCGUAACUGGUCUGAGAGGAAGAUCAGUCACACUGGAACUGAGACACGGUCCAGACUCCUACGGGAGGCAGCAGUUGGGAAUAUUGGACAAUGGGCGAAAGCCUGAUCCAGCCAUGCCGCGUGUGUGAAGAAGGUCUUCGGAUUGUAAAGCACUUUAAGUUGGGAGGAAGGGCAGUAAGUUAAUACCUUGCUGUUUUGACGUUACCAACAGAAUAAGCACCGGCUAACUUCGUG
RNAcentral lists this ribosomal RNA (484 nucleotides) under uncultured bacterium. RNAcentral's name for it is "partial 16S ribosomal RNA". It matches the Rfam family "Bacterial small subunit ribosomal RNA", at positions 30 to 507 of the family's 1533-position model. The record is from RNAcentral.